GUUAUAUGGUCAAGCGAAUAAGCGCACACGGUGGAUGCCUAGGCGGUCAGAGGCGAUGAAGGACGUGGUAGCCUGCGAAAAGUGUCGGAGAGCUGGCAACAAGCUUUGAUCCGGCAAUAUCCGAAUGGGGAAACCCACUGCUUCGGCAGUAUCCUGCAGUGAAUUCAUAGCUGCUGGAAGCGAACCCGGUGAACUGAAAUAUCUAAGUAACCGGAGGAAAAGAAAUCAACCGAGAUUCCCUAAGUAGUGACGAGCGAACGGGGAGCAGCCCUUAAGCUGGAAUGGCUUUAGAAAAACAAUCUGGAAAGAUUGGCCAUAGAAGGUGAUAGCCCUGUAUUUAAAAGGGCCACUCCAGUGAAGACGAGUAGGGCGGGGCACGUGAAACCCUGUCUGAAUAUGGGGGGACCAUCCUCCAAGGCUAAAUACUCCUGACCGACCGAUAGUGAACCAGUACCGUGAGGGAAAGGCGAAAAGAACCCCGGAGAGGGGAGUGAAAUAGAUCCUGAAACCGUGUGCGUACAAGCAGUAGGAGCUCGCAAGAGUGACUGCGUACCUUUUGUAUAAUGGGUCAGCGACUUACUGUUCGUGGCAAGCUUAACC
RNAcentral lists this ribosomal RNA (600 nucleotides) under Xanthomonas vasicola pv. vasculorum NCPPB 890. RNAcentral's name for it is "bacterial LSU rRNA". It matches the Rfam family "Bacterial large subunit ribosomal RNA", at positions 1 to 651 of the family's 2925-position model. Lineage: Bacteria; Pseudomonadati; Pseudomonadota; Gammaproteobacteria; Lysobacterales; Lysobacteraceae. The record is from RNAcentral.